RNAcentral lists this ribosomal RNA (259 nucleotides) under uncultured bacterium. RNAcentral's name for it is "partial 16S ribosomal RNA". It matches the Rfam family "Bacterial small subunit ribosomal RNA", at positions 524 to 776 of the family's 1533-position model. The record is from RNAcentral.
UACGAAAGGGAUGAGCGUCACUCAUCUUAAAUGGGUGUAAAGAGUAUGUAGGCGGUAAAAUUUAUUUCUACAAAAAAGAUAAAAAAUCUAAAAAGUAAGAAUACGCAAAGUAAAAUUUUUUUUACUAGAGUGAAAUAGAGGAAAGAGGAAUUUCAAGUGAAGGAUAAAAUCUUUAAAUAUUUAAAAGAAACUUCUAAGGCGAAGGCUUCUUUCUAAUUAAUCACUGACGCUAAAUACGAAAGUGUGGGUAGCAAAGAGG